UUUUUGUUACCAGUGAAUGUGAUGGUCCACAUUCACUUCUUUAUUACAUCAUAGAAUAAAAAAACACUAAGAUUGAUCUUGACGACAGAAGCUUUCAUUUUCUUCAUCUGAAAAAUGAAGAACUUGAAAUAGUUGGUGGAUAAGUCUUUGCUCAGCUAAGUUCCAUUGAAUUAUUUCUAAGCUUCAUUUUGGCUUUAAAAAGUGUAACUGAACAUUUCUUAAAUAAUAUUUUGAUCCAGUAAGCAAUACGGGAGACAACUGUAGUUUUACUUUAUGAAAAUAUUUUGUAAGUUACCCCUGAAACUUGUUUCCUUUUCUCUUCUCCACUCAAUGGGAGAGAGCAAACAGUAGUUGUAAUGAUAGCUUCCUUCCUUUUUCUGUUUCUUCUCCUAAAACUCAAGACACAGCAUACUUUUCUAAUCCUGAAUUGGUAAGAAGGCAAGGAAGGGGAGGUGUGAGCAAUAGAAAUAACCGGAGAGAAUGUUUCUGAUGCUCUCUAUGUCUCUAUUUACUCCUUCUUUCAUGCAUUUUACAGAUAUUAACUGAAUACCUAUUUACUGAACACCUCUGUUCCAGCUCUGACUGAUUUCUGUAAAUAUACGAAUUUUCCUAGCAAAUUCAGUCACUGCCCUCAUAGAGCUUGUAAACUGAUAAAGAAGAUAAACAUUAGUCAGUGUAAGUUUGAUAAUUAUUACAAAGGAGUUGUACAGUAUAUUUUAAAGACAUGUUACUAGAUCCAUGAAAAAAAUGACAGAAUCAGGACCUAGCAACAUAUCAGCACAAUUUUUAAGCAAGCAAUAGAAAUAAUGUGCUUGUCCCAUGAAGCCCUAGCAAUGAUUAGCAUCUGCCACCUGAGCAAGAUGCCUGUUGCCAACAAGAAGUCCUGUGUGUCAGGGUGUCUCCAGCUACAAUAAAGAACCAUCCCACACACACUCAGCUGGCCCAAAUAAUCAGGAAAAUGUAUUUGUCACAUAAUAAAAAUCCCAAAGUCUAGUUUUCCCAGCACUGUGGCAGUAUCAAGUUUCCGAGCUCAUUGUUUUUGCCUUUCAAUUCUCAGGGUGCCAGCAAUGUCCAAACGGUGGCAUCUGUUAAUAAUCAUUAGUUAAGAGCCAUGAUUCCAAGUGUCACCCACUUUCAGACACAACAAAAUGCAGACAAAAUUUUUGUGUAUCUCUUAUAGAAUUAAGUUACUUCUCUAGCAAAAUUUCUUUCAUAUUUUAUUGACCAGAAUUGGGUCUCACAUCUCUCAGAAAAAUUUUCUAGGAAGAAGAAUGAUAUUACUAUGAGUGGCAUAAUCAGGAAUUACCCCCAAGUCUCAGGAAGAUACUCCUUGAUGAAGUGGACACCCAAACAGACUUUUACUCUGACAGCAAGAAGAAAAGAGCCAGUGCUUUUUAAUUCUGUAUAUCAAAUAGCAAGACAUCAACUUUCACUCAAAUUUGUGGAGGAUAGGUGGUGAUUGCCUUCUCAGCAACUGUUGGAAGGGAGCUAUUUUGGAGGUAAUGCCAGGCAAGGCAAAAGACACUUUAAGGAUGCUUUUAACUAUCUCUUCAAAAUAAGAGUAUACAUUUGGAAAACUGAGGCAAGUCUGACUUGUAUCAGUAAGGUUUUGAAUGUGGUUAUCAUGGUCACUGCCAAAGGACAUUUUAUUGUUUCUGCAAGAGAAUCUGCAGCUAUAUUCUAGGAAAAAAAUCAAAAAAAGAACAGCAAAAACCUUUUGCCUAUAUACUAUCUCACAUUUGUCUUUUUAGCUGCUAAUCUUCAGUGUAGUAAUCACCAACAUUCUUUAAUACAAUAGAUAGAAAUGUGGGUAAUGCUAAGCUGAGACCUAAAUGUACCUCAUAAGUAGGCAGGUUUCAUAUUUCAUGCUUAGAAACAUAAAAUAAAUUUUCCCGAUGUGUUACGUUCAUUUAAAUUUUCACAGUGUUUAGCUGUAAAAAAAGAAACAUAAUGCCUUAUAUAUCAUCAGAAUCAUUAUUGUAUUUCUUUAGUGGCAUUUCUUCACCUAGAAUGUUAUCAAGUUGGCAUUAAAUCAGAAAGAAAACUAUGUUCCUAAGGAGAGAGUGCUCUUGCUAAUCCAUUUCAGUUAAACAAAUGAUUAUACCACAUUUUAAGUGAUAUGGGGAAAAUGGGAGUAUUAGGGCCCCUCUUUUUCAGGUCUUCUAUUUGCUAAUCAUUGUUAUAAAGUAUUCAGUUUAAUAUAGUAUACUAAUAAUGAAAAAGUUUGAAACAUUGCAAUAAUUACCAAAAUGCGAUGCAGAGACAUAUAGUGAGCAUAUGCUGUUGGAAAAACGGCACAGACGGAGUUGCUCAACACAGGGUUUCCACAAACUUUCAACUGUAAAAACACAAUUUCAGCAAAGCACAAUGAAGUGAAGUGCAUAAAACAACUUAUACCUGUAUUUCGGGCCACACUAUAAGGCAGGUUGUAGAGACUAAAACCUUUAAGUAACCGAGGCCUUCUCUCAAGCCCGUGGCAGGGAAAGGUUAAGCAGUUAUUCCACAGCUCAUAUUCUUUCUGUUACACCCUGGUCCCUCUUUCUGUUCCUGGGGUAUGUACAUGUGAUUGGGGGUGAUAGCAGUGGUGGUAUUAUUGAUGAUUUAUUUCUGUAAUGUUCUAAUAAUUUUGAAAAUGCUUCUGGGAAAAUAUGUAGGAUGAGAAAAUUGCAUACAGACUCAUGGCCCAGGCAGGUUUCUUUCUAAUCAACUCACUUUUCCCACUUCCCCGCCAUAACCCCUGACAAAUUCUUCCCCAGAAAAUCUUUUUGGUGAUCUUUUUAACCAUCUUCCACAAGAAGAAAAAUAAUUUUGAAGCAAAACAUGCAUACAAAAGUCAAUUAUUGUGAUUUUUUUCUGUAUUCUAGAGUAGAAUAUAAAUGUGUCAUGGUUCUAUUUUCAGAGAGCUGAUGUAUUACAUCAGUUUAAGUAAUACAUGAUAUACAAUAUAAAUUUUAAAAUCUCCCACAUAAUUCAUUAGAUAUGUGUAUUGGUUUCUACAGAUAAAUAUCAUUCUGAGACGUUAAAUGAGAAUCAAAUGUUUAAAUUAUAUAUCAGCAUACUAUUGAGGUGGCAGUAGAAAUGACAGUGUAGUAACAGCCCCCUUUCCAAAUGGUAUUUCAAACUGUUACAAUGUGGAGAUGUUAAAAGGAGAGGUCAUGAAGUAUGACUUGUGAAGAAUAUGUGAAUCUAGGACAAAAAUCUUUAAACCCAAGAGAGCAGAGGUAUAAAUAGUUGAAUUUGACCUUAGAUUGUUGAAAUAUUUUCAUAAAACCACUGCAAGAUGCACUUUUUAAAAUGUAAAUUCAUACUCUGACAUUUGCAACCUGUACACAGAGCUUCUAAUAAGCAAAUAAGGUCACUUGGAUGAUUUACUGGAGUGGGAUUGCUGAAGGCAGAGAUGUUGCUAUGAGUUGCUUGGUUUACAGAAGGCUUUGAAGUGUGGUUAUGUAACACUGUGUUUAUGCUUUAUGCUUUAUGUAACAAAUAAGAACAAAGGACUUAAUUUAGGAUUAGCUGACUGCCACAUUCUAUCCUGAUUAUAUAUGUAAAGGUUAAUUUCUGGUCUAACUAAAUAGAACACCUCAACUUUCUAGUUUUCCAGGUUAUAAAUACUUUGGUAAAAAAGCAGGUUCAAAGUUUUCACCAGAAGUUCUGCAUGGUGACUUUGAACAGAUACAAGCCUGUUUCUUUUUCCUUUACGUUAUGCUGCAGUGUAUUGAUGAGCUUUAUGAGAGCUGAGACAGAUGAUCGUACUAACAAUUCUAUAUUUAAUAUAAGUCCUCCUCUUUUAAAAUAGCUUCAUAAUGGGUGUAUGCUCAUUGCUGAGGUUCACUUUCUUUAGUUUUGAAAUGACUAAUACUUUCAAACAUAGAGGUCUUUUGAUCAUUUUUUCCUUGCUAAACACCAGCAAUCCCUAUGAUUUAAUGAUAAUGACAGAUCAGUACCCUCCCCUCCCUUGGUCAUAAAAAGCCUAUGAUUUAGCUUCAUUUGUCUACCCAGGAAUUAGAGAUGAAUCACCAAGUAAGAAAAAUAUUUUGCAUGAUUAAAAUAUUGCAACUGCUAUAACACUUUUAGAUUACCUUAAUAUAUAUUCAUAAGAUUAUAGACAGUAAUGAAUAAUGAGUAAGCCCUUACUGCACACAAAUGUAUUUGGUUUUAAGUUUUCUUUUUCUUGAAGGGGGAGCAGGGUCCUGUUGUUUUGUAUAGCCAUCAUAGUGCUGUCAAAUAUUUAACAGCAUUUCUGUUUUUUUGUUUCAUAGUUCAGUUGUGCAAUGUUGGUCUCUUCACUUCAGAAAGUCAUCUAACAAUAGCUCAGCCAAAAUUUCUGCCUUCUGUUUUUUGCCCUUCUGGAGGAAAAAUAAGUCAGAAAUAGCAUUAUAACCUUUAAAAACAGUGCACAAUCACCUAGUAAUAGUAUGCUUCAUUGGGAUCGGGGGCAACAUUUGUGUGCAGGGUGAUCAUUUUCACCGAUUUGUAAAAAGGAGAUACUAUUAUGUGUUAAUAGACUUCAAGACACAGUAUCACUCAUAUAUCAACAGUGAUAUGUUUACUUAGACUGCACUUGGUACCUGUAAACAGAUAGCUAAGUCUUUGAUGGGAGGAUGGAUAGAGGGUUGAUGAACUGAUAGACUGACAGAUGGAAGGAUGGAUGGAUAAAUAUGGAGUAUGUAGCUACCUAGUGGUAAAAUAACUCCUGAAGGGUUUAAAAUUAUGUAAUUAUAAAACACAAAUAGUACUAAAAUGAGUUGCUUCUCCCUUAAAGCAGUAAUUUAAAUGGUAUGAACAAAUUGAUAAGAUAUUAUCUAAAAAAUAUACCAUCAUUUUAUAGAAUUCACAAUUAAUAUAUUAUUAUCCUAUGAUGUGCUUGCUGAACAGAUGUUCAUAAUAAGAUCUACCACCUAUGAUAAAGGCAACAUAUGUCAUGCACUCUGAAAGCGCUUUACAGUCAUUGCCACAUUAGCCAACCAUUUAUUUUCCUAGACUACAAAUAUGGAAGAAGGCAACCUACAGGCAAACCUUGUAUAUAGUGCAGGUUUGGUUCCAUACACUGCAGUAAAGCAAAUAUUGCAAUAAAGCAAGUCACACAAAUGUUUUGGUUCAUACAUAUAAAAGUUAUGUUUAUAAUAUACUGUAGUCUAAUAAGUGUGCAACAGCAUUAUGUCUAAAAACAAUGUACAUGCCUUCAUUUAAAAAUACUGUGUUGCUUAAAGAUACUAAUGGCCAUCUGAGCCUUCUGCGAGUCAUAAUCUUUUACUAGUCGAGGCUCUUGCCUUGAUGUUAAUGGCUCCUGACUGAUCAGGGUGAGGUUUCUAAAGGUUGUGGUGGCUAAGGCAAUAGUGAAGUUUGUCACGUGGAUUGACUCUUCGUUUUAGGAAAGAUUUCUCUGUAAUGUGAUGCUGUUUGGUAACAUUUUACUCACAGUAGAUCUCUUUCAAAAUUAGAGUGAAUCCUCCCUAACCCUACCACUUAGUUUGAUAAAGAUUACCUAGGUUUAUAUUACAUUCUAAAUCAUUUGUUGCCAUCUCUAGCGUCUUCACCAGUAGUAGAUUCCAACUCAAGAAACCAUGUUAUUUGCUUAUCUGUAAGAAACAACUCCUCAUCCAUUAAGGUUUUAUCAUGAGACUGCAUCAAUUCAGUCACAUCUUUAGGUUUCGCUUUUAAUUCUAGCUCUCUUGCUAUUUCUACUGCAUCUGCAGUUAGUUCCUCCACCAAAGUCUUGAAUUCCUCAAAGUCAUCUAUGAGAGUUGCAGUCAAUUUCUUCCAAACUCGUAUUGUGUUGAUAUUUUAACCUCCUCCUAUUAAUCACAAACGUUCUUAAUGGCAACUAGAAUGGUGAAUCCUUUCCAGAAGAUUUCAGUUUGCUUUGCCCAGAUCCAUUAGAGGAAUCACUACUUAUGACAGCUAUAGCCUCACAAAAUAUAUUUCUUAAAUGUUAAGAGUUUAAGGUUGAAAUUGUUUCUUGAUCCAUGGGAUGCAGACUGGAUGUUGUAUUAGGUGGCUUGAAAACAAUGUUAAUUUCCUUGUUCAUCUCAGUCAGAGCUCUUGGGUGACCAGAUGCUCUCAUCAAUGAGGUAAUAUUUGAAAGGAAUCUUUUUUUUUUUUUUUUUUCUGAGGAAUAGGUCUCAAGCUUGGGCUUAUAGGCUUUGUUGUUCAUUUGCUGUCUUCAAGGCUUUGUGGUUCCAUUUAUAGAGCACAAGCAGAGUAGAUUUUAGCAUAAUUCAUAAGGGCCUAGGUUUUUGGAAAUGGUAAAUGAGCAUUGACUUCCACUCAAAGGCACCAGCUGUAUUAACUCAUAACAAGAGAGUCAUCCUUAUCUUUGGCGCUUUGAAACCAGACACUGUCUUCUCAAUAGUUAUGAAAGUCCCAGAUAGCAUCUUCCAAUGGAAACCUGUUUCAUCUAAAUUGAAAAUCCACCACCAAAAGCUUCAUAUAAGCGGUAGGGCUGAUGUUUACUUUCUUAUCACUCAUGUGUUGUAGAGUAGCAGUUCUUAUUUCUUUGAGGAACUUCUUUUCCUUUGCGUUCACAACUUGACUAACUCCUUGGCAUAAGGGACCUAGCCUUUGUCCUGUCUCAACUUCGAACACGCCUUCCUCAUUAAGCUUAGUAAUUUCUAGUUUUUGAUUUGAAAUGAGAGACAUUCCACUCCUCUAUUCACUUGAACUCCUAGAGACUAUUGUAGGGUUAUUAAUUGGACUAAAUUCAAUAUGGUCUUAGACAAUAGGGAGACCCAAGGAAAGGGGAAGAGUCGGGAACAGCCAGCAGGUGGAACAGCCAACACACACAUUUAUUAAUUCUGCGGUUUUAUAUGUGCAUGAUUUGUGGUCCCCUGAAACAAUUACAGUAGUAACCACAAAGAUCACUGGUCACAAAUCAUCAUAAUAGACAUAAUGAUAAUGUAAAAAUAAUAUUAUAUUAAUAUAUAAUAAUACUGUAAUGAAAAAGUUUGAAAUAAUGCAAGGACUACCAAAAUGUGACACAGAGACACAAAGGAAACACAUGCUGUCGGAAAAUGGUGCGAAUACACUGGUUGGAUGCAGGGUUGCCACAAAUCUUCAAUUUGUAAAAAUGUAUAUUUGUGAAGUGCAAUAAAGUGGAAUAAAACGAGCUGUGUUGGUGCAGUAGUAUCAUUGGCCUGAAAGGUUUCACAGUGAGCCUUUCCUUUUAAAGUUGGGCUUUACUUAAUUUAUCAGAAAUGUAUGAUUUCUUCUAUUUAAAACAUAAGUUAUAUUAGUCAUCUUUAUAUAUGAUACUACUGUUUUUUUAAAUAGACCAUUCUAUGUCUAAACUAAAUUUCUAACUUGGAUGUUCAAUCACUUUUCCUCUAGUCAGAAGAAAUUACCUUUUUCAAUGAGUAUCUCCUGCCUGCCUAUGUGAGAUAUUAUUUGUGUUUCUUAAGUUUUCCGUUAAGCUCUUCUUAAUCAGAAUCUCACAGGAUCAGACUGAGUGGUCAGUGUUGUCUCUUUAUAAAAGUAUUACCUAAAUACCUCAGAUACUUUCUUAAAAUUAAGAUGUGAUAUAAUGACUGGUUCGCUAAAAUUAUUUAAGGGCUCCUAAGCAUUUACGAAAGCUACAACCAAAAGAAAUUUCUAUUUCUCAGAGAAAAUUGGAAAUGUUAGAGCCAUAAACUGUGUUCUUGGAAGCAGUGGAUUCAGUUGUAAUCAUGUGUAAGAACCAUCUCUAAUUCUAUUAAUGUAGUUUCUCUUGGCACAAUAAUGUGAAAAUGCCUAAUUCUUUUAAAUAAGAAUUCAUUUGCAAAAUUGUGGUUAUUUUUUGUAGUUAUAUGGUAUCUAUCAGCUGUUGAAUAAGGAAAGUGUUUAGACAAUAUCAAAUAAAAUUAUUUAAUUAAUAUAUAACAAUGAAAUGAUUACACUAUUAAUACCUUUUAUUGGCAUGCAGUGAUCAUUUUAUUUCAAGAACAUUAAUUAAAAUGAAAAAUUAUGUUUGCAUGUAAAAUUAUAAACAUUACUGUUUUUUUCUCAUAUGUUCUUUAUUAUUUAGGGAGAGAGCCAAUUUUCAUUUUGCAGGAUUCCCUACCAACAUCUGUACUUUCUUCCAGCUAAAGAAAACAAAGGAAAAAUAAUUUUUUUCUGGUAGUAGCAUUAUUUUCUAAUUUUGAAACAUUAUUUUCUUCAGUUUGUUCUCUUAUUUAAACAUUUUCAUUUCCCAGUGGCUCAUGUAACAAAGGUCCCCAGAAAUAAUAAGUAUUUCUUGUUCUUAUAUUUGUAAACAUAAAUAAAUUUGCUCUCAUUGAAAGGAUAGUGGUUGGGAGCGUGAGCUCUAGAAUAUGACUAUCUGAGGUUCACGUUCCAUCUCUACCACUUUGUUUUGUUUUGAAAAUGACCUCUUGAUUACUUGGAUAUUCAUCUCUAGAAUAUCUACUCAUAGAACUCUUGUCAGAAUUAAAUUAGUUAAGAUACAUGCAGGCUUAGCAACAGUGUUGCCCAUGUUUGAGCAUAGCGAGUGUUAAGGGUAAUGGUCAUCCUUACUGUCAUCAUCUUCUAAAAAUACAUUAGAAAUUUUAUAACAAAAUGAAAGAAACAAAAAGAUGAGUAGGUACUAAUCCUGGCUGUUGUCUUCAUUCUCUUGUCCAACUUUUUGUUUUGUUUUUUGUUUCUGUUAGUGUUUUGCAUGUCCUGGUUCUCGUUUCACAACCACACGUUAAUUGCUUUCAGUCCUUUCACUGGACUGAAUUAAAAGUCUUCUGCUCCCUAUUAACUUCCUUCUUCACUCUUGUACCAUUUACCCACUUUUCUUUCUUAUUUUCCUUUCUCUAUAUCCUGCAGCACUGUCUUGAUUUAUUUUUCUUUCCACCCAUCUUCGUUUUAUCUUUUGUUUUUAGAUCUAAAUCCACUUUUUCAUUUUCCUUGUACUUUUCCCUGAAAAAUUCACCCACCCUUCAGCUGUCAGCUCUAUGAAGAUGUUACCUAAUGAUUCUCCCCUAUUCACCAAGCAGUGGGCAAUUGUGUGAUGUUUAAUAACUGUUAGGCAAUACUGAGUAGCAUGGAAUGAUAAAUUUUUAAAACUGAAAAGCUCUAGUAUAACCUAGCUUAGCCCAUUCAGAUUAAAUAAGAUUACAUGGAUUAGGAUAUCUAUAAGCUUCUUUUAGGGGAUGGUUUCAAAAUUAACACCAAAAGUUAAAUUUACAUAGCAGUUUACAAUAUGUGAAUAUUUUUAUUUAUGUUAACCCAUCUUAUCCUCACAUUUUCUCCAGUGAUGCUGGUUAGGCAAGCAUUUUUUUGUCCUCAAUCUACAUAUGAAGAUCAGAAAGAUUUAUAGUUUUCAUAAGAUUGUAUUUCUAGUAAAUGAAUAAAUGUGACUUAAAUCUAGUUUCUCUAAAUUCAGUACACUUUUACAUUUGGUCACCAGAUAAUUCAUCUUUUUGUUGCCCUCUAGCAAUGCCAUCGACGUAUAUGAAGUGUGUCUCACUGAUGUGUUUUUUUCUCUAUUUAUAUUUGUAGAGGUUAAUGAUGACUUUGACUAAAUUUUUUCUGCAGUGUAAUACCAUCCUGGUUUCUGAUCCUCACAAGCACAGAUCAAUGUAAGUGGAAAAAGUUUUCCCAACUGUAUAGACAUAUUUUUUAAUUUCUUCUUUUAUUUAGAUUUAUAGCAUACAUGUGCAGGUUUUUUACACGAGUUUUUUGAUGUGAUGUGAAGUUUUGGGUCGUGAAUGAUCCUAUCAGCCAGGCGGUGAGCAUAGUGCCUGUUACGUAGUUUUUCAGACCCUGCCUCUGCCCUACUCUCCCUCCUCUAGUAGUUUCCAGUAUUUAUUGUUCCCGUGUUUAUGUCCAUGUGUACCCAAUGUUUAGCUCCCAAUUGUAAGUGAGAACAUGCAGUACUUGGUUUUCUGUUCCUGUAUUAAUUCACUUAGGAUAAUGGCCUCUAGCUACAUCCAUGUUGUUGCAAAGGAUAUGAUUUCACCUUUUUAAUGUCUGUGUAAAAUUCCAUGGAUGUAUAUAUACCAUAUUUUCUUUAUCCAGUACACCAUUCAUGGGCACCUAGAUUAAUUUCCUGCCCUUCCUGUUGUGAAUAGUACUAUGAUAAACAUAGAGGUGCAUAUGUCUUUUUGUUUUCUUUUUUUUUUUUU
Molecule: long non-coding RNA, 10085 nt
Organism: Cebus imitator (Panamanian white-faced capuchin)
Lineage: Eukaryota; Metazoa; Chordata; Mammalia; Primates; Cebidae
Exons: 2
Source: RefSeq, a predicted model, not a curated record